RNAcentral lists this ribosomal RNA (376 nucleotides) under uncultured bacterium. RNAcentral's name for it is "bacterial SSU rRNA". It matches the Rfam family "Bacterial small subunit ribosomal RNA", at positions 521 to 896 of the family's 1533-position model. The record is from RNAcentral.
UAAGACAGAGGGUGCAAACGUUGUUCGGAAUUACUGGGCGUAAAGCGCGUGUAGGCGGCAAGGCAGGUCGGAUGUGAAAGCCCGCGGCUCAACCGUGGAAGUGCACUCGAAACCGCCUAGCUAGAGUCUCGGAGAGGAAGGUGGAAUGCUUGGUGUAGAGGUGAAAUUCGUAGAUAUCAAGCAGAACACCUGUGGCGAAGGCGGCCUUCUGGACGAUGACUGACGCUGAGACGCGAAAGCGUGGGGAGCAAACAGGAUUAGAUACCCUGGUAGUCCACGCCAUAAACGAUGAGGACUAGACGUUGGAGGGGUAAGCCUUUCAGUGUCGUAGCUAACGCGCUAAGUCCUCCGCCUGGGGAGUACGGCCGCAAGGUUG